This 792-nucleotide ribosomal RNA is filed under the name uncultured bacterium. Its description in RNAcentral is "bacterial SSU rRNA". It matches the Rfam family "Bacterial small subunit ribosomal RNA", at positions 98 to 896 of the family's 1533-position model. The record is from RNAcentral.
GCAAACGGGUGCGUAACACAUUGGUAACCUGCCCUGAAGAGUGGAAUAACUCCGCGAAAGCGGAGCUAAUACCACAUGUCGUUUUCCGGCAUAUGCCGGAAAAAGAAAGGUCCGCAUGGAUCGCUUCAGGAGGGGCCUAUGGCUUAUCAGCUAGUUGGUAGGGUAAUGGCCUACCAAGGCUAUGACGAGUAGCGGGCGUGAGAGCGCGACCCGCCUCAGUGGGACUGAGACACUGCCCACACUCCUACGGGAGGCUGCAGUCGAGAAUAUUCCCCAAUGGGCGAAAGCCUGAGGGAGCGACGCCGCGUGCAGGAAGAAGGUCUUCGGAUUGUAAACUGCUUUUCUCUGGGAUGAACUUUGACCGUACCAGAGGAAUAAGAGGUUGCUAACUCUGUGCCAGCAGCAGCGGUAAUACAGAGACCUCGAGCGUUAUCCGGAUUUACUGGGCGUAAAGGGUCCGCAGGUGGUUUUGUAAGUCUUCGGUUAAAUCCUUGAGCUCAACUCGAGGACUGCCGAGGAAACUACAGGGCUAGAGACCGUUAGAGGCAAGCGGAAUUGCCGGUGUAGUAGUAAAAUGCGUUAAUAUCGGCAAGAACACCAAAUGCGAAGGCAGCUUGCUAGAACGGUUCUGACACUCAGGGACAAAGCGUGGGGAGCGAUACGGAUUAGAUACCCGUGUAGUCCACGCCCUAAACGAUGGGUACUGGGCAUUGGGAGUAUCGACCCUCUCAGUGCCGCAUACUAAAGCUAACGCGUUAAGUACCCCAGCCUGGGAGUACGGCCGCAAGGCUA